GUCUAUGGCCAUACCACCCCGGACGCGCCCAGUAUCGUCUGAUCUCGGAAGCUAAGCAGCGUCAGGCCUGGAUAGUACUUGGAUGGAAGAAACAUGAAAGCUUUAAGGCAGCUGUUAUAA
This is a ribosomal RNA of Felis catus (domestic cat), 120 nucleotides long. NCBI's taxonomy places the organism in Eukaryota, Metazoa, Chordata, Mammalia, Carnivora, Felidae. The record is from Rfam.